GUGCUCUCUUCAGCAGCACAAGUAACUAAACUGGAACGGUAUAGAGAAGAUUAGCAUGACCCGUGUGUGAGGAUGACACCCCAAUUGGUGAAGGAUGCCACAUUUCA
Molecule: small nuclear RNA, 107 nt
Filed under: Meriones unguiculatus (Mongolian gerbil)
Lineage: Eukaryota; Metazoa; Chordata; Mammalia; Rodentia; Muridae
Source: RNAcentral